GUUGUGUCUUCCAUACAGGCGGCUAUAGUGGUCCAGAUCCACCGUUCUGUCUACCAGCCCACUGAGCUGGCUCUUAUCAGCAGGGGAAUGGGGAAUCAGGAAAUGUCUCACAUCCCCCGAGCCUCCACCAACAACAGCUCCGUGGCCCACAGCGGGGCCAGUAUCCUGUCGGCACGCACCGACGAGACAGCAAACACACAGACGCAGCAGGGCCACAGUGGCAAUGGGCUGCAGAAGAUAUCCCAGUGGUGAACACAGACUACUUUACACCUCUCUCCUCAAUUCAUUUUUAUUGAUACAGUUUCCUCAUGUUGACUCUAUUUUGCUGUUGUCCAUUGCAUCCUUGAUAUGAGCUGGUUUUAACGGGACCCAUCACAACGAGGCCUACCUGAACUCUGACCUAUUAGCCUAUCAGACUCCAGAGGUGACGUUUAGGUGAACGACACAAACAGUUUGCCCUUUGUAAAACCCCUAAAGAUGGACAGUCCUGUGUACGACAUAACCCUCUAUCGAUAGAUUGACAGUGCCUACAGGUCUGUCUGUCCCUGUUCCAGUUCCUGCCCAUCUGUCUGUCUGACAGAAGUCAAAGCAACCCACAGAGUGGAGAGCAGGCCCAUGGCAUUGGGAGAGAACAAUACCUUUUGCAGAGGUCACCUCUGACUAUGAGCUGAGCUCUCCGCUGGACACACUGUGACAGAUGAAAUGUGAGCAUGCUAACACCACGGAAAACUAGUCUCACUCUCUCUUAGCAUGUGGGGGUGUAUUUAGGCUACAAAUAUAGAUAUAUAUACACACACACACACACACACACACACACACACACACACACACACACACAAACUCACAAUAGUCACAUACACAGUAGUCACGUGGAAGUGCAGCCAAGAUCAGGAUCAGUCAAGCGAGGGGGCAACUGGUGUGAUGGGAUAAACCUGUCAUCCCAGUGUUCUCAGAAGAGGACCCCUUAACAGUGGAACAUUCCAUACCUGGAACACCCUCUAUGGUUCCAUGGAAUCUUGGAAAAUGACUCUUCUGUCACGGGGGAUACCUACCUAACACUAAUGCACUCAGUUAUAGGUUUAGCAUACAGAAAGCUUGCACUUUCAAGCUUUCAAUUCAAGUAAGUGUCGAUAUUAUUAUGUCAAUGUUUAGUGCCUGGCUUGUGAAUGGGUCUCACUUUCAGAAAGUUAAAAUUGCUAUUUAAAUUUGUAGCUAAAGGUUGUUGAAUGACUUAAUGUUAAUGCCAUGCCAAUGAAUGGCUUCUCACUACAUAUGUAAGGAAGCACUUGUUGUAUGAAAUGUUGUAUGAAUUUGGAAAUUUGAUAUUUAAAACAUAGCUAUUUACAGUAAUUACUUUUCUUGUAAUCAGUUUUGAGCCAACACCUGUAAAUGCAAUAAUGAAUGUUCAAUCUAAUAUGAAGUUGUAAUGCAACAGUGAGUGAAUUGAUUGGUUGAACAUACAGCCAUUGAUGUCUGAAAGAAAAAUGAAAAUCUAAAUAAACAUUUAAUGAUGAAGUACA
Molecule: long non-coding RNA, 1520 nt
Organism: Salvelinus sp. IW2-2015
Lineage: Eukaryota; Metazoa; Chordata; Actinopteri; Salmoniformes; Salmonidae
Source: RefSeq, a predicted model, not a curated record